AGCGUAGGUGGCCUAACAUGUCAACUGUGAAAACCCGGAGCUCAACUCCGGACUUGCAGUUGAAACUGGUAGGCUUGAGGACGGUAGAGGAAGACGGAACUGCCAGUGUAGGGGUAAAAUCCUUAGAUAUUGGCAGGAACGCCGGUGACGAAGGCGGUUUUCUGGGCCGGUUCUGACACUGAUGCUCGAAAGCCAGGGGAGCGAACGG
RNAcentral lists this ribosomal RNA (208 nucleotides) under uncultured Mesotoga sp. Its description in RNAcentral is "partial 16S ribosomal RNA". It matches the Rfam family "Bacterial small subunit ribosomal RNA", at positions 568 to 775 of the family's 1533-position model. The record is from RNAcentral. Lineage: Bacteria; Thermotogati; Thermotogota; Thermotogae; Kosmotogales; Kosmotogaceae.